AAGCAUUUGUUUCCGGUCGUUGGUUAUAAAUAGUUGUUGGCUUAUUAAAAAGGGCAGUCUUCUGAUAUCAACGGCACAGACUAGAAGUCGAAAAAGAAGUUGUAAUAGUAAAGUUGAAGUAAGUUGUGUGAAGUGGAGGAUAUCAAGUGUGAAUAAAGUUAUUUGUAACAACUGGAUUUUGUUAUUUCACUACAAGUCAGAAGUGCGAUCAGGACCCAAGUUAAGGUAUGAAAAAAAAAAAAUUUAUGACCAUAAGUUUUUAGGAUUUUUGGUUCUUCAUAAUGGAUUUUAUAUAUGAUUUUGAAUUGGAUGUUUUCUAUAAAGUUACUUUAGAUAAAUAAUUUUUCAGUUUUUAUUAUAGAUUACCCACAUAUAUGUAACAUUUUAUUGGGUUAUGAAUUUUACUAAGUAUUAAAGAUUAUUAAAAUGAAGUGAUAUUAGAAUUAUUAUGUAUGCUCCAGCAAUAAUUUUACGUGUAUUUAGAAGCCAAGUGUGCUUAUCGAUAGAGGUCAUGUGUACCUAGCGAGCCAUGUGAGCUCUAGUUAUUUAGGAAGCCAAGUGUGCUUAUCGAUAGAGGUCAUGUGUACCUGGUGAGCCAUGUGAGCUCUAGUUAUUUAGAAGCCAAGUGUGCUUAUCAACAGAGGUCAUGUGUACCUAGCGAGCCACGUGAGCUCUAGUUAUUUAGAAGCCAAGUGUGCUUAUCGAUAGAGGUCAUGUGUACCUAGCGAGCCAUGUGAGCUCUAGUUAUUUAGGAAGCCAAGUGUGCUUAUCGACAGAGGUCAUGUGUACCUAGCGAGCCAAGUGAGCUCUAGUUAUUUAGGAAGCCAAGUGUGCUUAUCGACAGAGGUCAUGUGUACCUAGCGAGCCAUGUGAGCUCUAAUUAUUUAGAAGCCAAGUGUGCUUAUCGAUAUAUCAAUAACAAGCUAAAUCUAUCAAAUUAAAUGAAAUCUUAGGAGGAUUUAUGUGUAUAGAAAAAUAUUUUACGUACAUCUUUUAUUUAGUUUUUAUUUUAAUGAUAUGAAUCUAAUAUUGAUUUUUUUUGUGGCAAUGAACUCCGACAAAGUGAUGACUCCUAAGGAGGAGCGCCAAGGUCAAGGAGAAAUCAAAGGAAGCGAAAUUCCGCGACUAAGACCGAUAAGGUGUGGUCUGGGACUAAAUCAAAGAGGAGACGGCGGGCUGGCGCCCAGCCCGUCCGCGUUCAGCAGUGAAUAUUAGAGUGACGACAGGUCAGAUGAAAAAGAACUUGCAAUUGGUCCACAAAAGAGGUAUUGCAACUAUUUGAUACCCUACAAAAAAAAAUAUACGUCACAUAAGGUAAUAUAAUUGUUAUAAUAUAAUUGUCAUGUUGGUAUUCGGUCCGGCUAGUAAAUCUCAAAUUAUUUAUAGUGGUAUUAAGAAAGUACAUGAAUAUGCUGCCAUUUACGAAUGAAAUAAGAAGCAGACCAUACAUUUUACUUUACAAAAACUUUCUGGUUAGGCAAAGAGGUAGUUUGAUCCUCUUCCAAGCGUUAAGAGGGCGUUUCCUAACGAGUAAAAUUAUGGUCAGCUUCUUGAAGAAAUGUUAGCCCGAAUCACUAGGAAUAAUGAAAAUUUACACGAAUAUUUUACGAUAAGGUAUUUUAUUUUAAUAGCUGUGAAAUGAGAGGUAAAAGGCCGUA
Molecule: unclassified non-coding RNA, 1658 nt
Filed under: Melitaea cinxia (Glanville fritillary)
Lineage: Eukaryota; Metazoa; Arthropoda; Insecta; Lepidoptera; Nymphalidae
Description: misc RNA ENSMCXG00005006159.1
Source: RNAcentral